CCCGAUCAUGCAAAGAAACAACCAAACAGCAACUCCUGAACAUACUCAGAGGAAGCCAAUGCCCUUAUCCCAAUGUUCUGGCAACAAACCAACUUACCAUCUAGGUAACAAUGGGUACAACAGGUGGAAAGGUCAAGGGAACUGGAAGAGUUUCAUUGGUCGACUCUGGGGAAGAGGGAUAGAUAUCUCAAAACCUGGGACUCAUGGCUCAAUUUCUG
Pelobates cultripes (western spadefoot toad) is the source of this 218-nucleotide non-coding RNA. Lineage: Eukaryota; Metazoa; Chordata; Amphibia; Anura; Pelobatidae. The record is from the annotation of a GenBank genome assembly.